GCUUCGGUAGCUCAAGAUUAAAGAGCGUGGCGCUGAAGAUGCUAAGGUGGGGAAAAUCCCCCUGGGGCA
Molecule: transfer RNA, 69 nt
Filed under: Monodonta labio
Lineage: Eukaryota; Metazoa; Mollusca; Gastropoda; Trochida; Trochidae
Description: tRNA-Phe
Rfam family: tRNA
About the family: Transfer RNA (tRNA) molecules are approximately 80 nucleotides in length. Their secondary structure includes four short double-helical elements and three loops (D, anti-codon, and T loops).
Source: RNAcentral